Long non-coding RNA from Bombus impatiens (common eastern bumble bee), 1208 nucleotides. RefSeq lists it as uncharacterized. The record is from RefSeq and is a predicted model, not a curated record. The transcript is spliced from 3 exons. NCBI's taxonomy places the organism in Eukaryota, Metazoa, Arthropoda, Insecta, Hymenoptera, Apidae.
AAUAAAAUAAUAUAAAACAGAAAUUCUUGUUCAUCUAUUAUCAUCUUACGAAACGAAAGAAACUUGUCGGAUAACCUAAUACAUAAAUAGGUAGACAAUAUUUGAAUGUUUGAAUUGAAAUCGAAGUAUCUGUACUUUUCAAUUACUUCAAUCUCUCCAUUUAAAUGAGAAAUGAUUUAAACGAUUGAAAUAUUUCAGCACGAACCUGAAUUUUCUGCAUCGGUAAACGCUUGGAUAUAACGUUGGCUUGUGAAUAUUUCGAUAUAAAUCCGAGCACGUAACGCGAUUUCGCAUAGUCGAAGAUAAAUGUCGAUUCGAAUUUGAAGAUUCUUUAAAGGACAUUUUUAUCGAAGAAGUCACUUUUUACCAAGCAACGUACGAGUGGUAAAUAUUCAGUGGAAAUACCAGAUGUAAAGUUGGCAAAUAGAAAUGAUAUGUUUUCAGUUCUUAGAAGAUGUUCAUAUUUCGUAAAAAUUAUUGAAGAGCAUUUGAAACGCAGGUGAUCGAUUCUUCAAGUUCAAGAUUAUCUAUUUGAUGGCGCCAGAUACCUAUUCGACCGACACCUCGCAUCCAGCCGAUCAACGUUGAAAAAUCAAGUCCACGUUGAAAGAUUAACUUCAAAUUGAUCGAUAACAGAUUAUACGUUUAAUCGAUAAGCCAACAAAAAUUUCGCCACCGCUAAGCAUCGAAGACUGAAAGAAGCGCAAAAAUUGGCAAUUUCAGACGCCAAAUACUCGCAAAAUGGUAAAAGACGAUCGGAAACUGCAGGAAAUGGUAAAAAGCGAAAAAAGUGCGACGAGGAGUCACGUGAAACGAGAGAAGACAACGCGAACGAUCAGGUGGCCGCUAACUCUGUUUAGGAAUUCGAGUGAAAAAUUUCACGUAGUUGCAACUGUCCGAUAUUGAAAAUUGGAAGAGAUUAGAAAAUAAUAUAAAUCAGUUGACUGUCCGCUAUAAAUAUCGGUGGCGUAUGAAAUCGAGGAGAGACACGGAGCAGGCGAGUCUGGUGAAAUUCGGAACAGAUCCGUCCGUCCUGACAAGUGGAAAUCCAGCUGCUUUCCAUUUCUAACGAUCGCCGAUCGGAGACCAAUGGUUACGAGGCUCUGUCAACCACGAAAACCGAUUUCUAUUUUCUUCCCCGGCCACUUCCACCUGUCGAUCGAAACUUACGACACUUUCGACCAUCGACGAUUUCUAACAGCAAAGAU